Durio zibethinus is the source of this 873-nucleotide non-coding RNA. Lineage: Eukaryota; Viridiplantae; Streptophyta; Magnoliopsida; Malvales; Malvaceae. The record is from RefSeq and is a predicted model, not a curated record.
UCUUUUUCCCAAGCGAUAGCUACACGGAGAAAAGUGAGAAAAAAAAAAAAAAAACCCAGAUUGUUUUGAACAAAAAUGGCUACUUUGGAUUCUUCGAACUCUUCACCUGAAAAAACUGAUCUUGAAACUAACCCUAAUUCUAAUUCUUCAAAAGCUGUAAUCCCAAUUCCUCCCAAUUCCAAUUCCCCUGCCGUGUGCCUCUUCCAAUUCGCAGGAGACUCCGUCGCUGGUGCCUUCAUGGGCUCCAUCUUUGGCUACGGUUCCGGAUUGAUUAAAAAGAAAGGCUUUAAAGGAUCCUUUGUGGAGGCGGGAUCUUAUGCAAAGACAUUUGCAGUUUUGUCGGGUGUACACUGUUUGGUUGUUUGCUUUUUGAAGAGGCUGCGGGGAAAAGAUGAUGUUAUUAAUGCUGGUGUAGCUGGAUGUUGCACUGGACUUGCUCUAAGUUUCCCAGGUGCACCCCAGGCACUUCUACAGAGCUGUCUAACAUUUGGGGCAUUCUCAUUUGUCAUGGACGGGUUUAACAAGCAGCAGCCAGCACUGGCACAUUCAUUGUCUGUGAGAAACAAGAGCGGGUCCUACAACGGACCUCGUCCUUUAGCACUCCCUCUUUCACUCCCUAUUCCAGAUGAGCUGAAAGGAGCUUUUUCUUCUUUCUGGAAGUCCUUGGUAAAACCAAAUAAAGACAUUCAUCCUUAGAGUGGAUACUCAGACUCCAGGCUGGGAAAAAUCCAUGAUCAAAGUCUUGUAGGGAAUUCCAGGUGCUACUUUCUCCAUUGAUACAAAUGGUUUGGCUCGUGUUUCUGGUAACAUAGACCCUGGCAAAACUCUUAAACUGCUAGCAAAAGCAGGGAAACAUGCUCAGUUGUACUCGAU